CUUCCAGACUCCUACGGGAGGCAGCAGUGGGGAAUAUUGCGCAAUGGGCGAAAGCCUGACGCAGCGACGCCGUGUGAGGGAUGAAGGUCUUCGGAUCGUAAACCUCUGUCAGCAGGGAAGAACGGUCACUGUGCUAAUCAGCAGUGAAUUGACGGUACCUGCAAAGGAAGCACCGGCUAACUCCGUGCCAGCAGCCGCGGUAAUACGUAGGUGGCAAGCGUUGUCCGGAUUUACUGGGUGUAAAGGGCGUGUAGCCGGGCCGGCAAGUCAGAUGUGAAAUCCCAAGGCUCAACCUUGGAACUGCAUUUGAAACUGUUGGUCUUGAGUAUCGGAGAGGCAGGCGGAAUUCCUAGUGUAGCGGUGAAAUGCGUAGAUAUUAGGAGGAACACCAGUGGCGAAGGCGGCCUGCUGGACGACAACUGACGGUGAGGCGCGAAAGCGUGGGGAGCAAACAGGAUUAGAUACCCCCGUAU
Molecule: ribosomal RNA, 473 nt
Filed under: uncultured bacterium
Lineage: Bacteria
Description: bacterial SSU rRNA
Rfam family: Bacterial small subunit ribosomal RNA
Source: RNAcentral